This 635-nucleotide ribosomal RNA is filed under the name uncultured Marinobacter sp. Its description in RNAcentral is "bacterial SSU rRNA". It matches the Rfam family "Bacterial small subunit ribosomal RNA", at positions 870 to 1504 of the family's 1533-position model. The record is from RNAcentral. Lineage: Bacteria; Pseudomonadati; Pseudomonadota; Gammaproteobacteria; Pseudomonadales; Marinobacteraceae.
CGCCUGGGGAGUGCGGCCGCAAGGUUAAAACUCAAAUGAAUUGACGGGGGCCCGCACAAGCGGUGGAGCAUGUGGUUUAAUUCGACGCAACGCGAAGAACCUUACCUGGCCUUGACAUCCAGAGAACUUUCCAGAGAUGGAUUGGUGCCUUCGGGAACUCUGAGACAGGUGCUGCAUGGCCGUCGUCAGCUCGUGUCGUGAGAUGUUGGGUUAAGUCCCGUAACGAGCGCAACCCCUAUCCCUGGUUGCUAGCAGGUAAUGCUGAGAACUCCAGGGAGACUGCCGGUGACAAACCGGAGGAAGGUGGGGAUGACGUCAGGUCAUCAUGGCCCUUACGGCCAGGGCUACACACGUGCUACAAUGGCGCGUACAGAGGGCUGCCAACUCGCGAGAGUGAGCCAAUCCCUUAAAACGCGUCGUAGUCCGGAUCGGAGUCUGCAACUCGACUCCGUGAAGUCGGAAUCGCUAGUAAUCGCGAAUCAGGAUGUCGCGGUGAAUACGUUCCCGGGCCUUGUACACACCGCCCGUCACACCAUGGGAGUGGAUUGCACCAGAAGUAGUUAGUCUAACCUUCGGGAGGACGAUUACCACGGUGUGGUUCAUGACUGGGGUGAAGUCGUAACAAGGUAACCGUA